RNAcentral lists this ribosomal RNA (497 nucleotides) under uncultured bacterium. RNAcentral's name for it is "partial 16S ribosomal RNA". It matches the Rfam family "Bacterial small subunit ribosomal RNA", at positions 899 to 1397 of the family's 1533-position model. The record is from RNAcentral.
ACUCAAAUGAAUUGACGGGGGCCCGCACAAGCGGCGGAGCAUGUUGCUUAAUUCGAGGCAACGCGAAGAACCUUACCUGGGCUUGACAUGCACGGAAAAGCCGUAGAGAUACGGUGUCCUUUUGGGCCGUGCACAGGUGGUGCAUGGCUGUCGUCAGCUCGUGUCGUGAGAUGUUGGGUUAAGUCCCGCAACGAGCGCAACCCUUGUCCUAUGUUGCCAGCACGUAAUGGUGGGGACUCGUAGGAGACUGCCGGGGUCAACUCGGAGGAAGGUGGGGACGACGUCAAGUCAUCAUGCCCCUUAUGUCCAGGGCUGCAAACAUGCUACAAUGGCUGGUACAACGGGCAGCAAAGCCGCGAGGCCAAGCGAAUCCCAAAAAGCCAGUCUCAGUUCGGAUUGGAGUCUGCAACUCGACUCCAUGAAGCCGGAGUCGCUAGUAAUCCCGGAUCAGCAACGCCGGGGUGAAUACGUUCCCGGGCCUUGUACACACCGCCCGU